AGCAGUGCAGAUCGAUCCUCUCUUCUUCCUUCACCUUCCGACCUUACCCGUUGAUGGUGAAAUUAUAUAGGUUCGUGACAGCGGUGUAACCAAUACGACAUUUGUUUCAAGUUUGUUGCCCAAGACCUUUUCUCUUUCAAGUGUAUAAAAGAGACCGGUAAACAGUAUUUGUAACUCACUUGUUGAAUUUUUACUCGUUCCUGAUCUAUUCAUCAUCGAUUUCCGGUUGAAAAUACAUCAUUUAGGACCGAUUUCGUUUCUUUGUGAUCAUUAAACCCACUGUUAUAGUAGAUCUAUUUUUGUAUGGUGUUUAUCUAGAUCUGUAGUUUGUUGUCGUGAUUUCAUCCUUCUUGUAAAUUGCUCUUGUUAUUAGUGCUGGAAAUAGCUCUUAUUUUCGUAGUCUUACAUAUCACUAGGAUGACAACCCCUCCUAGCGCUAGUACUACUAACAAUUUUGCCAAUGCUGCUGGGUUUGAAGAAUUAUCUUUGGAUCCUUCUCAUCCCUAUUACAUACAUCCUUCUGAGAGUCCUAGUCAUCAGUUAGUACCUAUACCUUUUAAUAGCUCUGGUUUUGCUAUUUGGAGAAAUAGCAUGAUCACCUCUUUAUCUGCCAAAAACAAGUUAGGAAUGGUCAAUGGAAAACUUCCUCAACUUGAGUCUCAUAAUCCAUAUUUCCAGUUCUGGGAAAGGUGUGAUCAUAUGGUUAAAGCUUGGAUCAUAAAUUUGCUCUCAAGAGAUAUUGCUGUUAGUGUUAUGUGCCUUCCUACUGCUAGGGAUAUCUGGAAGGAUAUAAAUGAUAGGUAUGGUCAAUCUAAUGGGUCUAGGUAUAUCCAUGUCCAAAAGGAAAUAAAUUCAACUGUUCAAGGGUCUUCCAGCAUAGCUGCUUAUUUCACUAAGAUGAGGUCACUCUGGGAUGAACUGAAUUCAUCUUAUGUUGGUCCUGAGUGCACAUGUGGUGCACUAUCCAAGUUCAUCCAUGAUCAACAAUUAUUCCAAUUCCUUAGUGGCUUGAAUGAAGGGUAUUCCACUAUCAAGAGCAAUACUCUGAUGAUGACACCUCUACCUUCUAUCAAUAAAGUUUAUGCUCUCCUUCAACAGGAUGAAAGCCAAAAAAAAUCUCAGUCUGGACCACCUCACUUCUCUAGUAACCCAGUCUCAUUUAAUGCUUCUGCUCUUGUCUAUAAUUCUAGUAAUAGACCUUUUCAUCAAAAGGUAAAUUUUAGUACUAUUAAAUAGUCUCAUGGGUCACAGAUAUGCAAAUAUUGCAAGAAGCCUGGUCAUACUAUUGACACCUGUUAUAGGAUUCAUGGAUUUCCUCUUAAUUUCAAGUUCACCAAGAGCAAGAAAUCAUCUACUUCCUGUGUUCAGCUAUCAGAUCCUGAUAUCAAGUCCUCCCCUUCUAUUUCACAUUCAAACUCUUACAAAGAGGACUCUUCUCAUGGUUUCAGCAAGAAACAAUAUAAUCACCUCAUGACUCUUUUCCAACAAGCUCAGAUUUCUCCCAUGCAUCCUUCUCAGCUUGAUCAUGCAAAGAGUUCUGGGUUUGCUCACUUUGCAGGUUUGUGCAACAGCUCAGUUUUUACUUCUACUGGCUACAGUGUGUGUGCUUCUUCCCAAUUACUCCCGGUAUUGGACUCAGGUUCCUUUAAUCAUAUGACUCCACAUAAACACCUCCUUCGCAACUUACAAUCUUUAGCUCAUCCUUUUCUUAUUACCUUACCUAAUGGUAUAAAGUCAAGGUAGUGUCUACUGGUUCCUUGCUCUUAAGGGAUGACAUUACUUUAGACAAUGUUCUGUUGGUUCCUCUUUCCAUUUUAACCUACUUUCUAUAUAUCAACUACUUAAAUAUCUCUCAUGUUUAGCUGUAUUUUCUGUCACUUCUUGUCAUUUACAGGGCCCUUUUCUGAAGAGGCCACUGGAAAUUGGUAAGGCUGUAAAUGGAUUAUACUACUAUCAUGCUGAUCUAACUGUUUCUCUAGUUCCUGCGCAUCAGUCUACUGUUUCUCAUUUUUCUGUUUCUAGUAGUACACAUCUUUCAAAUUCUGUUAAUGUAUCUCAUGAUGUACCAUAUGUGACUCCAUCUUAUUGUAAUUCUUCACAUGUUUCUAAUAAAAUGGAUGUAUUUUGGCACCAAAGACUUGGUCACAUGCCUUACCAUAAAAUAAAAUCCAUUCCCUUUCUUCAAUCUCAACUUUCUUCAUGUCAAACCUUUGCAUGUGAUGUAUGUCCUCUAGCUAAACAACAACGACUUCCUUUUCCCUACAAUAAAAUGGAUGUAUUUUGGCAUCAGAGACUUGGUCACAUGCCUUAUCAUAAAAUGAAAUCCAUUCCUUUUCUUCACUCUCAGCUUUCUCUAAGUCAAACUUUUACAUGUAAUGUCUGUCCCCUAACUAGAAAACAAAGACUUCUUUUUCUCCACAGCACUAUUCAUUCCACUCUUCCCUUCCAAUUAGUUCACAUUGACAUUUGGGGACCAUACCACACUAAAAUAUACUCUGGUUACAGAUAUUUCCUCACUCUUAUUGAUGAUUUCACCAGAGUCACAUGGACUCACCUUCUUACUUAUAAAAGCAAUGCUCUUUCCAUUCUAAAAGCAUUUGUUUGUAUGGUUAAAGCAUAUUUCAAAGCAUUUGUCCAGACAUUCAGAUCUGAUAAUGCAUAUGAAUUGGGUAGUAGCCUUGAAGCUUCUUUAUUUUUUGCUGAAAAUAGUAUUCUUCACCAAAUAACCAUUCCCCACACACCUCAAUAAAAUGGUGUUGUGGAAAGAAAAUAUAAAUAUUUUUUAGAAACUUCAAAAGCUUUGCUUUUCCAAUCAAAACUCCCUACUAUGUAUUAGGGUGAUUGUGUCCUCACUGCCACUUACUUAAUCAAUAGGCUACCCUCUUCUGUUUUACACAAUCUAUACCUUUAAGUUUCAUGGUUCUUCUCCCUCUUUUGAUCAUCUAAGUUCUUUUGGCUGCCUCUACUAUGCCACUACCCCUCCUGUUGGGAGAGAGAAAUUUCUCUCUAGAGCCAUCCCUUGUGUUUUUAUUGUCUAUCCUUGUGGAAAAAAGGCGUAUAAGUUGCUGCAGCUUUCAAACAAGUCCAUUUUCUAUUCUAGAGAUGUCUGUUUCCAUGAACACAUCUUCCCCUAUUUAUCUCACCAUCCUCCCUUACCUUCUCCCCCCUUCUCUAGACUUCCCCCUCCUUCUUUUUUUUUCCAGUUCUUUUUUCUUCUUCUCCUCUUAUCCCAGCUCCCAUCUCCUCUCCUUCUCCUUCACCCUUUAUUCCUUACGUUCCAUCAACUUCUCCUAUCCCUUUAAGAAGGUCUACGAGACCCAUCAUCACCCCUACCUACCUAUCAGACUAUGUCUGUCAUUCAGCAUCCACUAGCGUUCCUCUUGAACCUCCUUCUACUGAGCUGCAGUCGUAUCACCAAGUUGUUUCUCACCCUUCUUGGUAGGAUGCUAUGCUUAAGGAAUUUUAGGCUCUUGAAUCCAACAACACUUGAGAUCUGGUACCUUUUUCCUAACAAGAAGCCCAUUUCUUCAAAUUGGGUGUACAAAAUUAAGCAUAAAGCUAAUGGGUCUGUUAAGAGGUAUACGGCUCGUUUGGUCAUUCGUGGGGAUACUCAAAAAGAAGGAAUUGAUUAUAAUGAAACUUUCUCUCCAGUAGUAAAGUUCACUACUAUCAAAGUCCUUUUAUCUAUUGCUAUUAAACGAAACUGGACUGUUUAUUAAUUGGAUGUUAACAAUGCUUUCCUCCAUGGGGACUUACUUGAGGAGGUUUAUAUGAAGCCCCCACUUGGGCUGGAAGUUUCUUACUCCAUUCCCCCUAUAUCUCCCUUGAUUUGAAAACUUAAAAAGUCUCUUUAUGGGUUGAAACAACCUUUACGACAGUGGUUUUCUAAACUUUCUGAAGCUUUGUUUCUCCGGGGCUAUUCUUCUAGCAAGAAUGAUUAUUCUCUCUUUACCAAAUCUGUUGGUGCUUCUUAUACUGUACUAGCUGUGUAUGUUGAUGAUAUAUUGCUGGCUGGGGAUGAUAUUCAUGAAUUAGAUACUUUGAAACAUUUUUUUGACUCCCAAUUCAACAUCAAGGACCUUGGGUCUGUUCAUUAUUUUCUGGGUUUAGAGGUCACUCCUCAUCCCCUGGGUUAUUUGAUGUCUCAACAGAAGUUUACUUCAGAACUUUUAUCUGAGUUUCACUGUGCCAACUUUACUCCUUUUAGUGCUCCUCUUGAUCACUCAAUUAAACUCAUAACUGAUAUAGGUGCCCCUCCUACUGAUCCUUUUGUUUAUCGUCGGCUUGUUGGGAAAUUAAAUUUUUUACAAUAUACAAGACCUGAUAUCGCAUACUCAGUUCAACAUUUGAGCCAAUUUCUCAGGCUCCCCAGGUGUCUCACCUUCUUGCAGGUCUUCAUGUCCUCAGAUACCUAUUGAAUGCACCUGAUCAAGGUUUAUUAUUGUCUAAUUCUGCUGACUUGACUCUACUGGCAUUCUCUGACUCUGAUUGGGCUUUUUGUGAUCAUUCACGCCGGUCUGUGACUGGUUAUUUUAUCACACUUGGUGGUUCUCCUAUCUCAUGGAAGAGUAAGGAACAACCUACUGUUUCCCUGUUUUCAGCUGAAGCUGAAUACCACGCUCUUCGUAAAGUGGUUGCUGAAGUUUCCUGGUUAGUUCGUCUACUUUUUUAUUUUGGUUGUCAUGUCACUGAUCUUAUUUCUGUUUAUUGUGAUGGGCAGCUUUGCAUAUUGCAUGCAAUCCAGUCUACCAUGAGCGCAUGAAGCAUAUCGAGAUCGAUUGUCACUAUGUUCGUGAUUAUCUUUAUUCCGACCUGAUUUCUCUCUAUUUCAUCCCUUCAGCUGAUCAGCGAUCAGCUCGCUGAUAUUUUCACAAAGUCUCUAACCUGACCCUGCUCAUCUAUACAUUCUUGGCAAGCUUGGUGUGUUUGCACCCUCCAGCUUAAGGGGGGGUGUUGGAGCCAUUACAUAAUACACACAUUGUAUAUCUUUCAUAUACAGUUAGUUGUAUAAUUGUAUACAUAUUCAUCACUGUAAUUGUCUAGCUCAUUCAUAUUUUGUCUAACCCAUGUAAUAAUACUCAACCCGGUCCACUACAAGUGUGUAUAUAUAGAUAGAGUUAGUUGAGGUUGUAGAGAUUGGUAGAUAUUUUUCAUCCAAUAAAGAAAGACUCUUUCUCUUCUUCAUCUUACUGUUCUCGAACCUUCUAGGGUUCUUCAAUGUUCAUCAAUGGAGUUUAUCGUGUUUUCACUAUAACACAAGUAGAC
Molecule: long non-coding RNA, 5265 nt
Filed under: Capsicum annuum
Lineage: Eukaryota; Viridiplantae; Streptophyta; Magnoliopsida; Solanales; Solanaceae
Description: long non-coding RNA (CANN_LNC015518)
Source: RNAcentral